Molecule: ribosomal RNA, 1218 nt
Filed under: Salmonella enterica
Lineage: Bacteria; Pseudomonadati; Pseudomonadota; Gammaproteobacteria; Enterobacterales; Enterobacteriaceae
Description: partial 23S ribosomal RNA
Rfam family: Bacterial large subunit ribosomal RNA
Source: RNAcentral
UCCUGACUGACCGAUAGUGAACCAGUACCGUGAGGGAAAGGCGAAAAGAACCCCGGCGAGGGGAGUGAAAAAGAACCUGAAACCGUGUACGUACAAGCAGUGGGAGCCCCACCACUAAGCCAGUGGUGAACUCCACAUACGCAUCCUUUGCUGAGGAUACGGUUAACGGAGCGAAAGCGACGUUCAACCUCAAAAGAAGCAGAGGGGGCUUAGUGGUGGGGUGACUGCGUACCUUUUGUAUAAUGGGUCAGCGACUUAUAUUCUGUAGCAAGGUUAACCGAAUAGGGGAGCCGGAGGGAAACCGAGUCUUAAUUGGGCGUUAAGUUGCAGGGUAUAGACCCGAAACCCGGUGAUCUAGCCAUGGGCAGGUUGAAGGUUGGGUAACACUAACUGGAGGACCGAACCGACUAAUGUUGAAAAAUUAGCGGAUGACCUGUGGCUGGGGGUGAAAGGCCAAUCAAACCGGGAGAUAGCUGGUUCUCCCCGAAAGCUAUUUAGGUAGCGCCUCGUGAAUUCAUCUCCGGGGGUAGAGCACUGUUUCGGCUAGGGGGUCAUCCCGACUUACCAACCCGAUGCAAACUGCGAAUACCGGAGAAUGUUAUCACGGGAGACACACGGCGGGUGCUAACGUCCGUCGUGAAGAGGGAAACAACCCAGACCGCCAGCUAAGGUCCCAAAGUCAUGGUUAAGUGGGAAACGAUGUGGGAAGGCCCAGACAGCCAGGAUGUUGGCUUAGAAGCAGCCAUCAUUUAAAGAAAGCGUAAUAGCUCACUGGUCGAGUCGGCCUGCGCGGAAGAUGUAACGGGGCUAAACCAUGCACCGAAGCUGCGGCAGCGACACUGUGUGUUGUUGGGUAGGGGAGCGUUCUGUAAGCCGUUGAAGGUGUGUCGUGAGGCAUGCUGGAGGUAUCAGAAGUGCGAAUGCUGACAUAAGUAACGAUAAUGCGGGUGAAAAACCCGCACGCCGGAAGACCAAGGGUUCCUGUCCAACGUUAAUCGGGGCAGGGUGAGUCGACCCCUAAGGCGAGGCCGAAAGGCGUAGUCGAUGGGAAACGGGUUAAUAUUCCCGUACUUGGUGUUACUGCGAAGGGGGGACGGAGAAGGCUAUGUUGGCCGGGCGACGGUUGUCCCGGUUUAAGCGUGUAGGUGUGUGUUCCAGGUAAAUCCGGUUCACUUUAACACUGAGGCGUGAUGACGAGGCACUACGGUACUGAAGCAA